GGGUCAGUAGGUUGGUCGUGCCACCGGUACGUACUGGUCUCACUGAUUCCUCCUUCCUGAAGAACCGUAAUGCCAUUAAUUUGGUGUUGCGGGGAAACAGGACUGUUACUUUGAAAAAAUUAGAGUGUUUAAAGCAAGCUAACGCUUGAAUACAUUAGCAUGGAAUAAUGAAAUAGGACGAUCGAUCCAAUUUUUUUGGUUUCUAGGAUUGACGUAAUGAUUAAUUGGGGGGUCUGUUGGUUGGUCGUGCCACGGUUACGUAUGGGUAUAUCUGUUUCCUCCUUCCUUAAUAACCUUAAUGCAUUUAUUUUGGUGUUGGGGGUAAACUGUACUUUUAAUUUUAAAAAUUUUUUGUGUUUAAAUCAAGCUAAGGCUUUAAUACAUUAGCAUGGAAUAAUUAAAUAGGACGUUCUUUCAUUUUUUGUUGGUUUCUAGUUUUGACGUAAUGAUUUUUUGGGAUUAGUUGGG
This 468-nucleotide ribosomal RNA is filed under the name Glomeromycotina sp. Its description in RNAcentral is "partial small subunit ribosomal RNA". The stretch from base 1 to 293 matches the Rfam family "Eukaryotic small subunit ribosomal RNA", at positions 644 to 979 of the family's 1831-position model. Lineage: Eukaryota; Fungi; Glomeromycota. The record is from RNAcentral.